RNAcentral lists this ribosomal RNA (224 nucleotides) under uncultured bacterium. RNAcentral's name for it is "partial 16S ribosomal RNA". It matches the Rfam family "Bacterial small subunit ribosomal RNA", at positions 15 to 230 of the family's 1533-position model. The record is from RNAcentral.
GAUCCUGGCUCAGGAUGAACGCUAGCUACAGGCUUAACACAUGCAAGUCGAGGGGCAGCAUGGUCUUAGCUUGCUAAGGCCGAUGGCGACCGGCGCACGGGUGAGUAACACGUAUCCAACCUGCCGUCUACUCUUGGACAGCCUUCUGAAAGGAAGAUUAAUACAAGAUGGCAUCAUGAGUUCACAUGUUCACAUGAUUAAAGGUAUUCCGGUAGACGAUGUGG